RNAcentral lists this small RNA (181 nucleotides) under Chrysemys picta bellii (western painted turtle). Its description in RNAcentral is "TUC338 (ENSCPBG00000006817.1)". Lineage: Eukaryota; Metazoa; Chordata; Testudines; Emydidae. The record is from RNAcentral.
UGGAUUGAGGUGCCUGAGGUACUCUCUUUACUGUACAGUAUCGUUAGAAUUGGUAUAGCAUGGGCAAUAGCAGUGCAAGCUACCUUGCAUUGCCCAUCAAGGGGCCCCAGCCCUGACCUGGAGGACCACGUUUAGGGCUGAUAGAGGUUGAGGCUCCAUGCCCAUUUGAACUGUGGUGAUU